CAUUGCUCUGAGGAUGGCACCAAGCCUUUCAAGAGGGAUCUGCUCCCACGACUGAAAUAUCUCCCAGCAGACCCCAACUCCAAAACUGGGGAUCACAUUUCAAUAUGAGAUUUGGAGGGACUAACAUAGAGACUAUAUCAGCCCCCAUUUAUCUGUAAUCCUUCUCUUUCUUUAAUAGAAGUUGGAGAGCUAAAAUUGUAGCCAUCUCAACAUCCUUUGCAACUAGGGAGAAUGUAGACAAGACCCCAGGAGCUGCAGCAGUCAUCUGCUCACACUGAAGUUCGUAGAACUAAAAGACGGAAGGAGCCUGGGAUGCUGAUGAAAUUGUGAAGCUACUGACACAAGCCCUGGACUGCCUAUCUCUGGACUCUACUGGAUGGGUCCACAUGGCAAGGAACCAAGGGUAGCCUCUGGCCAGCAACCAGAGAAGAUAAAGAUCUCCAACAACGUCUGCGUUUGGAAGAGGAUUGUUCUUCCGUAGAGUUUUCUGAUGAGGCCCCAGCCUUGGCAACAUCUUGACUGUCUCCUUGUAAAGGGACCUUGAGACAGAGGACUCAGCUCAGCCGUGCCAGACUCCUGACUCACAGAAACAGUGAGAUUAUAAAAACAAACUGUUUUAAGCCACUAAGUUUUGAGUAAUUUGUCACACA
Molecule: long non-coding RNA, 650 nt
Filed under: Homo sapiens (human)
Lineage: Eukaryota; Metazoa; Chordata; Mammalia; Primates; Hominidae
Description: HSALNT0366259
Source: RNAcentral